This 3386-nucleotide long non-coding RNA is filed under the name Sus scrofa (pig). RNAcentral describes it as "lncRNA (ENSSSCG00005015338.1)". Lineage: Eukaryota; Metazoa; Chordata; Mammalia; Artiodactyla; Suidae. The record is from RNAcentral.
AAGAUUUAGAAACUUUAUAGGCAGCUGUGAAAGAAAAGCAAGAAGAAUAUAUUUGCUUGGACAUAGGUGAGCUUUGGAGCUUUUCAAAGACUCUUGACAUUCCAAAGUGAAAAAUAAAUUAUUCUUAGCAUUUAUUUUUAGUGGUAUUUUGAACAUCACUUUUGUAUAUGUUUCAAGCAACUUAUCAAGAUUGCAUUAUGAUUAUCAUUUUAUAACUAGGACAACAAAAACAGAGAGAGCUUAGGGACAGGCCUUAAAGUUAGAGAUAGAUUGGGAUGGAGAAAAAAAUUUUGUCUGUCAAAAUAGACAUACCCAGUUUUUUCAGUAAGAAUUAUUUUGGUCGCAGAAACCCAAACCAAACUGAGCAGCAGUGGAAUGUAUUGCCUCAUAUAACUCCUAAGACUGGGGGUGGAUCUAGGUUUGGGUCCAGAGGGAUCCAAAGGCUCAAAUUAUCUUGGCUGCAACAUCUGCUGUGGAGAAUCUAAUUCUGUGUAGUCAGCUAAGAUGAUGCUGCCAGUUCUAGGAAUAUAUUGCCCUAACUUAAUAACCCCUGUUAAAAAUGGAAAGUUUUUCUUCUAGCAUCUUUAGUCUCUGGGAGGGACUUCUUUUAGCUAUAUCACUAUUUCCAAGAUGAUGGAGACUAUGAUCUUGGCCUGCAUCAUGUGCCCAUACUUGGUGUACUGAGAUUGGCAGCACCACUAAACUAUGAAAUGUGGAAUUGGGUGGUUGCUAAGCAAACUUGUGUGCAUUCUAAUAAUGCAGAUAUUGAAGCCAUGGUACUUAAAAUAUUUUUGUAGCUAAAUUGUAAAAAUUUCAAAAUUAAAACAAAACAAAUAAUAAUGACAUUAUUGAGAGCUUUCCUCUGCUCAUUUCUUUACAUGCAUGGUCACAAUUUCUUUUAAUAGCCCUAUGAGGCAGGUAGCAUCAUGCUUAUUUUAAAUGUGAAGAAAUUGAGGCCUGGAGAGAUUAAAUAAUUUGCCCAAGGUUAUAGUACUUGGAUGGUAGAGGCAAGGUAGUUACUCAGAUUUAUCAGACUCCACAGCUCCUGUUAUUUACCCCUAUAAUAGAUUGCUUCUUUGAUGGAUCAGUCUAGGUUAAGCUAGCAAGUCUACAGACUGCAGGAGGAUUUAUCGCUAUGAUUGGCUUAAUGUGCAGGAAAUCGUGCCCUGGAUUCUGUGUUGUUGCGUCUGUCUGAAGAUUGUUUUUGGUGUCUCCCAGUUUCUGUUUCUGAUUUUCCAUGCUGGGACACAGAUAGCUGUAUGUGAAUAGUCAACUCAUUGAAUACUCACAUUCUGCGAGGCACUCUGGAAGAAAUGGAAAGAAAACAUGAGUCCCACAACCCUUCUUUUAAGAAGUACCAUCAAAUGGCUUUAUAAAUGCUGAUAAACUGCACAUAAAUUAAUCCAAAUUCUUUCAUACAUGUCAUACAAGUGAUAGACAAAUGCUGAGAGAACUUGCCAUAUAGGAAUGUGUUUCUCUUAGGUGAGAGAGGGCAGACCAUGGAAUGGGAGUGAGGUGUGUGGAGGAUGGAGGUAUUCUAUGAGAGGGCAAAGAUGGAAACAAGCAGGUGAUGAUUCAACUCCAGGACACACAUUUAAUGAAGUAGCUGAUUUUCAAGACUCUGGAACACUGACUUUUUAAUAAUUUUAAUUUAAUUUAAUACAUUUUAUUUGUGGAGUUCCUCUCGUGGCUCAGUGUUCCUAGUCGGAUUCGUUAACCACUGCACCACGGCGGGAACUCCAGAUGUUUUAAUAUUGAUCUACACAGUCCACGUACAGUGCAAUAGAUUGAUUUGCACCUGCAGCAUAUGGAAGUUCAUAGACUGGGAAUAGAAUCGAACCUGUAGCUGCCAGCCUACAUCACAGCCACAGUGGGAACUCCCAAUUUUUAUACUUUUUAAUUUCAUCUUAGGAUACAGAAUAAUGACAGCCCUCACUAGAUUAAAGUGCUUAUACUGGAUAAUAAAGGAAUGAAAUGGUUUUAAAUGCUACCAAACUGUCUCGUAGCAGCCACAUCUGGCAGUAUUCUCAGACAGCCUUCUUUGUAUGUACAUUUUCACAUAGAUAUUUUUGCAUGUUUUUCCUCUGCUCUAAGGAGAUUAUGGUUGUUCUUAUUCCUCUACCACCUACCAGUUUCUUCCCACUAUUCUCCUAAUUUUUUUUCCCUCAUAUUUUCUCCUAUCACCUCUGUGCUUGAGACUUAAAAAGAAGAUUUGGGGAUUCUCUUUGUUUGUUUGUUUUUUGCUUUUUUAGGGCCGCAUCUGUGGCAUAUGCAAGUCCCUAGGCUAGGGGUCCAGUCAGAGCUGCAGCUGCCGGCCUACACCACAGCCACAGAGGUUCGGGAUCCAAGAUGUGGGAUCCAAGCUGUGUCUGCAACCUGCACUACAGCUUAUGGCAUUUUUAAUAUAUGCCAUAUCCUCCAAUCCACUGAGCGAGGCCAGGUAUUGAACCCUCGUCCUCAUGGAUACUAGUCAGAGUUGUUUCCGCUGCACCACAAUGGGAACUCCCAGACUUUGGGAUUCUUAAAGAAUCUCCACCCCUCGGGAUGUAGUCAAAGAAAUUGAGUCUUGUGCCAGAAGUGCUUCAGUCCCAUACUGAAGCCUGAGAGGACAAGAUACUAGGGGAAAAAAAUACAGCAAAGCAUUUCUGAUGGCCAUUAGCUCUAUGUGACCUUGGAAAAAAAUGCUAGCAUUUACAAGUCUUACAUUUCUUAUCUAUUAAAAGUAAGAUGACUUUCAAUUCUCAUUUUUUAUAAUUCUAAAUAUGUGAUAGAGAAUGAAGUUUACUAUAAAUUGACUGUUUACAGGAGUUCUCCUUGUGGUGCAGUGGAAACGAAUCUGACUAGUGACCGUGAGGAUUUGGGUUCGAUCCCUGGCCUCUCAGCAGGUUAAAGAUCCCGCAUUGCUGUGGCUGUGGUGUAGGCUGGCAGCUAUAGAACCUGGGAACCUCCAUAUGCUGCGAGUGUGGCCCUAAGAAGCAAAACAAACAACAAAUAAAUAAAUAGACUUAUUUACAAAUACAUGGAUUGUCAGAGAACUGGAAUAAUCAAGUUCGUUUGUUUAUUUAUUAUUUUAUUUAUGUCAUUUUUAGGGCUGCACCUGCAGCAUAUGGAAAUUCCUAGGUUAGGGGUCAAAUCAGAGCUGUACCUGCCAGCCUGUGCGACAGCCACAGCAACGCCAGAUCCAAGCUGCAUCUGUGACCUAUACCACAGUUCACAGCAACGCCGGAUCCUUAACCCACUGAGCGAGGCCAGGGAUUGAACCUGUGUCCUCAUGGAUACUAGUCAUACCCAUUUCUGCUGAGCCAUGAUGGGAACUCCCAAAUUAAUUUUAAUACUGAAGAUAUUCUAAACAUAGUGAAUCUCUCUUUGAUCAUUCAGAUGGAGCC